RNAcentral lists this ribosomal RNA (121 nucleotides) under Octopus vulgaris (common octopus). RNAcentral also lists the same sequence under 1 other name. The record is from RNAcentral. Lineage: Eukaryota; Metazoa; Mollusca; Cephalopoda; Octopoda; Octopodidae.
GCUUACGGGCCAUAUCACGUUGAAAACACACGGUUCUCGUCCGAUCACCGAAGUUAAGCAACAUCGAGCCUAGUUAGUACUUAGAUGGGUGACCGCUUGGGAACCCUAGGUGCUGUAAGCA